RNAcentral lists this ribosomal RNA (497 nucleotides) under uncultured bacterium. Its description in RNAcentral is "partial 16S ribosomal RNA". It matches the Rfam family "Bacterial small subunit ribosomal RNA", at positions 28 to 507 of the family's 1533-position model. The record is from RNAcentral.
GAUGAACGCUGGCGGCGUGCCUAAUACAUGCAAGUCGAGCGAACGGACGAGAAGCUUGCUUCUCUGAUGUUAGCGGCGGACGGGUGAGUAACACGUGGAUAACCUACCUAUAAGACUGGGAUAACUUCGGGAAACCGUAGCUAAUACCGGAUAAUAUUUUGAACCGCAUGGUUCAAAAGUGAAAGACGGUCUUGCUGUCACUUAUAGAUGGAUCCGCGCUGCAUUAGCUAGUUGGUAAGGUAACGGCUUACCAAGGCAACGAUGCAUAGCCGACCUGAGAGGGUGAUCGGCCACACUGGAACUGAGACACGGUCCAGACUCCUACGGGAGGCAGCAGUAGGGAAUCUUCCGCAAUGGGCGAAAGCCUGACGGAGCAACGCCGCGUGAGUGAUGAAGGUCUUCGGAUCGUAAAACUCUGUUAUUAGGGAAGAACAUAUGUGUAAGUAACUGUGCACAUCUUGACGGUACCUAAUCCGAAAGCCACGGCUAACUACGUG